GACGAACGCUGGCGGCGUGCUUAACACAUGCAAGUCGAACGGAAAGGCCCCUUUGUGGGUACUCGAGUGGCGAACGGGGGAGUAACACGUGAGUAACCUGCCCUUGACUUCGGGAUAACUUCAGGAAACUGAAGCUAAUACCGGAUAGGAAUCCUUGCUUCAUGCUGGGGGUUGGAAAGCUUCGGCGGUGUUGGAUGGGCUCGCGGCGUAGCUGCUUGUUGGUGUGGUAGUGGCGUACCAAGGCUUUGUCGGGUAGCAGGCCUGAGUGGGCGACCGGCCACAUUGGGACUGAGAGACGGCCCAGACUGCGACGGGAGGCAGCAGGGGGGAAUAUUGCACGAGGGGCGGAAGCCUGAUGCAGCAGCGCCGCGGGCCGGAAGACGGCCUUCGGGUUGUAAACCGCUUUCAGCAGGGGCGAAGCUUGUGGUGACGGUACCUGCAGAAGAAGCACCGGCUAACUACGUG
This 465-nucleotide ribosomal RNA is filed under the name uncultured bacterium. Its description in RNAcentral is "partial 16S ribosomal RNA". It matches the Rfam family "Bacterial small subunit ribosomal RNA", at positions 28 to 507 of the family's 1533-position model. The record is from RNAcentral.